Ricinus communis (castor bean) is the source of this 610-nucleotide long non-coding RNA. RefSeq lists it as uncharacterized. Lineage: Eukaryota; Viridiplantae; Streptophyta; Magnoliopsida; Malpighiales; Euphorbiaceae. The transcript has 2 exons. The record is from RefSeq and is a predicted model, not a curated record.
UCAAUCUCUCAUCAUUUCUAUUUAUGUUCUGAACAUGCCCACUAAAAAAUGGCACUCGAGAAUAAUGUCUGCAGAGGGAGUUUUUUUUCCCUCUCAGAGCAUGUUUAAGAGAUGGGAAUUAAUAAAGGUUGUUGUUCAUGGCAAUUGAAGAAAGGAUGACUAUGGUGACAAUCCAUCUCCAAAGGCCCUAUGUGGGUGAUAGGAGUUGUCAGAUGUGGACAACCUUUGCUUCAAGCUCAAGAGGUGAACUAGUCCUGAAGGUGUUUGUCCUGGUAUCUUGACAGGAUCUAACUCCCAACAUUUCUAGACUCAGGAUACCCUUUUCAUCUCCAAAUUGAGCACCGACAAGUCAUACAUCAACAGUUUAUGGUGAAUGUAUAUGAUUAUUAGCACCAUCUCGUCUAAAUUAAAUGAAACGGUAAAAAAAAAAAAACAAAAAACAAAAACAAAAACAAAAAAGAGAGGGCAGGGAAGAAGCACAUUUAUCGCAACUAGAGCAAGGUCUCGAAUCAAAGUUCCCUGCCCUCAUUUAUAGUUAAAAAGGUUGUGUUAUAACUUGAUCAUUUUCCAUUUUAUACAAAGGGAAUGCUGAUAAUAGUGUUUGAUUGAA